GACGAGCGCUGGCGGCGUGCCUAACACAUGCAAGUCGAACGAGAAAGGGAUUUCGGUCCUGAGUAAAGUGGCGCACGGGUGAGUAACACGUAGGUAACCUACCUCUAAGUUUGGGAUAACCUGUCGAAAGAUGAGCUAAUACUGAAUAAGACCACAGUUUCCUCGGAAGCAGGGGUCAAAGGUAGCCUCUAUUUAUAAGCUAUCACUUAGGGAUGGGCCUGCGUACCAUUAGCUAGUUGGGAGGUAACGGCUCACCAAGGCAAAGAUGGUUAGCUGGUCUGAGAGGAUGAUCAGCCACACUGGAACUGAGACACGGUCCAGACUCCUACGGGAGGCAGCAGUGGGGAAUAUUGCGCAAUGGGCGAAAGCCUGACGCAGCAACGCCGCGUGAGUGAUGAAGGCCUCGGUCGUAA
This 413-nucleotide ribosomal RNA is filed under the name uncultured bacterium. RNAcentral describes it as "bacterial SSU rRNA". It matches the Rfam family "Bacterial small subunit ribosomal RNA", at positions 28 to 428 of the family's 1533-position model. The record is from RNAcentral.